UCCAUAUUAGUAUUCGUUCUUUUCUAUUUUAUUCUUCACCUUCGGAGCUCGCUUUCUCUUCUUCCUUUUUGCUGCUAUGACGGAGUUCAAGAGGCUCUCGGAGAGCGAGGACCUCAUCCAAAUCAUGCAUAUUAGCAUCCACUCACAUUCGCAGCUUGGACCUCGACUUUACUCUAGAGGUCCGUAUUGUCUUCGAGAGCAUGGUCGACCAU
Molecule: long non-coding RNA, 212 nt
Filed under: Elaeis guineensis (African oil palm)
Lineage: Eukaryota; Viridiplantae; Streptophyta; Magnoliopsida; Arecales; Arecaceae
Description: long non-coding RNA (EGUI_LNC006859)
Source: RNAcentral